GUAACAACCAAUCAGAAAAAAGUUAGAUGGCACAUAAAAGGCCCUGACAGUGACAUAAUUUCCUCUUUCUUUGUAGCGAGGAUAUAAACAGGUAGAAUAAUACAUAAGAUAAAAAAAACUGAAUCAAUAACAUCAGUCCAACUUGAAAUCCAACAAAGGCAAUCGAGCUCCCAUGAACGCUUUAUACGUGGAAGCAGAAAGAUGAGUCCAUCCUUGGUCGAUAGCCAAUUAUGCUGAAAGAAAAGAAAGAAGUGAAAGGUCUCUGAAGCAGCAAGUUGCCCGCAUAUAAUGUAUAUCGAAUUACAUAAAUAACCAUUAUGCAUGCUAUGCUAGCUGUAUCAUUAAAGUUAAUAAAGUCAAUGCUAUAUAAUUAUACUACAUCAUUAUCCUAGACGGUAUAAAACAGAGAACAAUUUAGAACGUUACAUAACAUAGCCACAAAGGGAGAGAAAAAAACAGUAGGGUGGGAAAUACUCGCCUCCUGUCAUUACUAAAAUUAAGAUUAUUAGUACACUAAAGCUAGCAUAAUCUUCAAUUUUACCAUAUGACAGGAGGCUUCCUAUUUGCAUUUUUAACGCUAUGAAUUAACCAAAAUUAAAGUCUGCCUGAAAUAAAAUGUUCUAAAGGUACUCUCGCGUGUCCAAUCCGCGCAACGCAUAAUAUCGUCAAGGGAGGCUCCUGCCGAUAAUGCCAGUGAAGCGGCCGCACCCCUGACCAAGUGGUCCCCAAAAUGGUUCAACGCC
Pelobates cultripes (western spadefoot toad) is the source of this 743-nucleotide non-coding RNA. NCBI's taxonomy places the organism in Eukaryota, Metazoa, Chordata, Amphibia, Anura, Pelobatidae. The record is from the annotation of a GenBank genome assembly.